UACAGAGGUCUCAAGCGUUGUUCGGAUUCAUUGGGCGUAAAGGGUGCGUAGGCGGCGCGGUAAGUCGGGUGUGAAAUUUCGAGGCUUAACUUCGAAACUGCAUUCGAUACUGCCGUGCUAGAGGACUGGAGAGGAGACUGGAAUUCCUGGUGUAGCGGUGAAAUGCGCAGAUAUCAGGAAGAACACCCGUGGCGAAGGCGGCUCUCUGGGACGGUACUGACGCUGAGACGCGAAAGCGUGGGGAGCGAACAGG
This 253-nucleotide ribosomal RNA is filed under the name uncultured bacterium. RNAcentral's name for it is "partial 16S ribosomal RNA". It matches the Rfam family "Bacterial small subunit ribosomal RNA", at positions 524 to 776 of the family's 1533-position model. The record is from RNAcentral.